Molecule: ribosomal RNA, 497 nt
Filed under: uncultured bacterium
Lineage: Bacteria
Description: partial 16S ribosomal RNA
Rfam family: Bacterial small subunit ribosomal RNA
Source: RNAcentral
GAUGAACGCUGGCGGCGUGCCUAAUACAUGCAAGUCGAGCGAACAGACGAGGAGCUUGCUCCUCUGACGUUAGCGGCGGACGGGUGAGUAACACGUGGAUAACCUACCUAUAAGACUGGGAUAACUUCGGGAAACCGGAGCUAAUACCGGAUAAUAUAUUGAACCGCAUGGUUCAAUAGUGAAAGACGGUUUUGCUGUCACUUAUAGAUGGAUCCGCGCCGCAUUAGCUAGUUGGUAAGGUAACGGCUUACCAAGGCAACGAUGCGUAGCCGACCUGAGAGGGUGAUCGGACACACGGGAAGUGAGACACGGUCCAGACUCCUACGGGAGGCAGCAGUAGGGAAUCUUACGCAAUGGGCGAAAGCCUGACGGAGCAACGCCGCGUGAGUGAUGAAGGUCUUCGGAUCGUAAAACUCUGUUAUUAGGGAAGAACAAAUGUGUAAGUAACUAUGCACGUCUUGACGGUACCUAAUCAGAAAGCCACGGCUAACUACGUG